AUGGACCAAUCCAUCCCUUUUUCCCGUGCAUAUGCAUCGGACUCGGAUGACGAUGGUCCCGAUGAAGAAGUUGAUGAGGAGGGGUUCACGCCGAAGGAGGCCGAAGCAUUCAAGAAGGUAUUCGGGCGGGAUCACGAGACACCAUUGUUCAAGGAUAUUAGUCUCGCGGAUGAAGCCGUUGUGGAUGGUGGCAAAUGCAUAUCUCUUGGAGUUAGGCCAAGUUCUCAC
Molecule: ribosomal RNA, 228 nt
Filed under: Triticum aestivum (bread wheat)
Lineage: Eukaryota; Viridiplantae; Streptophyta; Magnoliopsida; Poales; Poaceae
Description: partial small subunit ribosomal RNA
Source: RNAcentral